UACGUAGGGUGCAAGCGUUGUCCGGAAUUAUUGGGCGUAAAGAGCUCGUAGGCGGUUCGUCACGUCGGCUGUGAAAUCCCGAGGCUCAACCUCGGGUCUGCAGUCGAUACGGGCGGACUGGAGUACUGCAGGGGAGACUGGAAUUCCUGGUGUAGCGGUGAAAUGUGUAGAGAUCGGGAGGAACACCAGUGGCGAAGGCGAGUCUCUGGGAUGAUGCUGACGCUGAGGCGCGAAAGCCAGGGGAGCAAACGGG
This 253-nucleotide ribosomal RNA is filed under the name uncultured bacterium. RNAcentral's name for it is "partial 16S ribosomal RNA". It matches the Rfam family "Bacterial small subunit ribosomal RNA", at positions 524 to 776 of the family's 1533-position model. The record is from RNAcentral.